Budorcas taxicolor (takin) is the source of this 1782-nucleotide RNA transcript. It is a transcript of the gene named heterogeneous nuclear ribonucleoprotein D like, with no coding region annotated. The record is from RefSeq and is a predicted model, not a curated record. The transcript has 9 exons. NCBI's taxonomy places the organism in Eukaryota, Metazoa, Chordata, Mammalia, Artiodactyla, Bovidae.
CUCUCAAGGCAAGAGGGACUGUGGCGUUGCUCGGGAUUCUGACCCCAGGACUUCUCGCCCCGUCGUCGUUUCUCUUCUGACGCGUCUCCCUUCCCAAGCCCGCGUCCCCUCACUCGCGACCUCGCUUCUCAGGAGGGCCGCGAUGGAGGUCCCGCCCCGACUCUCCCAUGUGCCGCCGCCAUUGUUCCCCUCCGCUCCCGCUACUUUAGCCUCCCGCAGCCUCUCCCAUUGGCGGCCGCGGCAGCUCGCCCCGCUCCUCCCUUCGCUCGCUCCCAGCUCCGCCCGGCAGGGGGCGCGCCGGGCCCAGCGCCACGUCACCGCCCAGCAGCCCUCCCGAUUGGCGGGCGGGGCGGCUAUAAAGGGAGGGCGCAGGCGGCGCCCGGAUCUCUUCCGCCGCCAUUUUAAAUCCAGCUCCAUACAACGCUCCGCCGCCGCUGCUGCCGCGACUCGAUCUGCGCGCCAGCACCUUCCGGCCGACCACUCCGCCGCUAUGGAAGACAUGAACGAGUACAGCAACAUAGAGGAAUUCGCAGAGGGAUCCAAGAUCAACGCGAGCAAGAACCAGCAGGAUGACGGUAAAAUGUUUAUUGGAGGCUUGAGCUGGGAUACAAGCAAGAAAGAUCUAACUGAAUAUUUGUCUCGAUUUGGGGAAGUUGUGGACUGCACGAUUAAAACAGAUCCUGUUACUGGAAGAUCACGAGGAUUUGGAUUUGUGCUUUUCAAGGAUGCUGCUAGUGUUGAUAAGGUUUUGGAACUGAAAGAACACAAACUGGAUGGCAAAUUGAUAGACCCUAAAAGGGCUAAAGCUUUAAAAGGGAAGGAACCCCCAAAAAAGGUUUUCGUGGGUGGAUUGAGCCCAGAUACUUCGGAGGAACAAAUUAAAGAAUAUUUUGGAGCCUUUGGAGAGAUUGAAAAUAUUGAACUUCCUAUGGAUACAAAAACAAAUGAAAGAAGAGGAUUUUGCUUUAUUACAUAUACAGACGAGGAGCCAGUAAAGAAAUUGUUAGAAAGCAGAUACCAUCAAAUUGGUUCUGGGAAGUGUGAAAUCAAAGUUGCACAACCUAAAGAGGUAUAUAGACAGCAACAGCAACAACAAAAGGGAGGAAGAGGUGCUGCAGCUGGUGGGCGAGGUGGUACUAGGGGUCGAGGCCGAGGUCAGGGCCAAAACUGGAACCAAGGAUUUAAUAACUAUUAUGAUCAAGGAUAUGGAAAUUACAAUAGUGCCUAUGGUGGUGAUCAAAACUAUAGUGGCUAUGGCGGCUAUGAUUAUACUGGGUAUAACUAUGGGAACUAUGGAUAUGGACAGGGAUAUGCAGACUACAGUGGCCAACAGAGCACUUACGGCAAGGCAUCCCGAGGGGGUGGCAAUCACCAAAACAAUUACCAGCCGUAUUAAAGGGGACACUGCAGAAAACAGCGGGAACUUCAUUGCAGGCCGUGUGUCACCCUGACCACGUCUAUCUCUGGGGGUCGCACGUUGCGGGCAGAGCGCAAGGCAUACACCAGAAAACGCUGUCCUGUGGAAGAGAUUGCUAAAGUAACCAUCUUGCAGGAGGACAUUGAAGAUUGGUCUUCUGUUGAUCUAAGAUGAUUAUUUUGUAAAAGACUUUCUAGUGUACAAGACACAAUUUGUGUCCAACUGUAUAUAGCCGCCAAUUAGUUCUCUUUGUUUUUACUUUGUCUUUUGCUAUCUGUGUUAUGACUGUGGAUUUGUGUUUAUACAGACUUUAUUUGUAUGAUUACAUGUUAAACCUCAAAUAAAUGCUUCCUUAUGUGAUUGUU